GGUUAAGUGACUAAGCAUACACGGUUGGAUGCCUGCAGUCAGAGGCGAUGAAGGGCGGCUAACUGAGAAAAGCGUCCGGUAAGUGAUAUGAACCGUUUAUAACCGGCGAUUACCCGAAUGGGGGAAAAAAAACCCAGUUUUUUGUGUUUCGACACCCUAUCAUGUCAUGAAUACAUAGUGGCAUGAGGCGAACCGGGGGAACUGAAACAUCAAAUACCCUCCGCGGAGGAAAGAAAUCAACCGAGAAUUCCCCCAGUAUCGGCGAGCGAACUGGGGGGAGCCCAUAACCUGAAUCGGCUGUGUGUUAGUGAAGCGUCUGAAAGUCGAGCAGCAAAGGGUGAUAUCCCCCCCCGUACACUAAAAUGCACGGUCUUGGUUUCGAUGAGUAGGGCGGGACACGUGACUCCUGUUCUGAAUAUGGGGGUACCAACCUCCCAAGGCUAAAUACUCCUGACUGACCGUAGUGAACCAUACCGUGAGGGAAAAGGGGGCGAAAAGAACAACCCGCCGGCGAGGGAGUGGAAAUUGAAACGAAUCCGUGUACGUACAAGCAGUGGAGCAACUUCGAGGUGUGACUGCGUACCUUUUGUAUAAUGGUCAGCACUUUCUUUUGUAAGCAAGGUAAUCCGUAUAGGGGACCGUAGGGAAACCGAGUCUUCACUGGGCGAAUAGUUGCAAGGUAGAGACCCCGAAACCCGUGAAUCUAGCCAUGGGCAGGUGAAUGUGGGUAACACUAACUUGAGGACCGAACCGACUAAUUUGAAACAAUUAGCGAUGACUUUGUGUGCGGGGGUGAAAGGCCAAUCAAACCGGAGAUAGCUGUUCUCCCCAAUGGAGCUAUUUAGGUAGCGCCUCGUGAACUCAUCAUCGGGUAGAGCACUGUUUUUCUGGCUAUGGGGCCAACCCGGCUUACCAAACCGAUGCAAACUCCGAAUACCCUGAAGAAUGUUUAUACACGGGAGACACACGCGGGUGCGAACGCGUCCUGCUGAAGAGGGAAACACCCAGACCGCCAUCUAAGGUCCCCAAAGUCAUUGUUAAGUGGGAAACGAUGUGGAAAGGCAUAUACCGUCCAGGAGUUGGCUUGUACACCAUCAUUUAAAAAGAAAGCGUACUAGCCACUGUCGAGUUCGGCCUGCGCUAAGAAGAACGGGGCUAAACCAUAGCCCCGAAGCAGCUGCACGACCGCUUAGGGCUGUUGUUGGGUAGGGAGCGUUCUCUGUAAGCCGUUUGAAGGUGGCCUGUAGGGUUGCUGGAGGAAUCAGAAGUGCGAAUGCUGACAUAAGUAGACGAUAAAGCGGGUGAAAAGCCCGCUCUCCGGGUAGACCAAGGGUUCCUGUCCAACGUUAAUCGGGCAGGGUGAAGUCGACCCGUCUAAGUGCGAUGUGAAAAAUCGUAGUCGAGGGAAACAUGUAAUAUUGCCUGUACUUGGUUGUUACUGCGAAGGGGGACGGAAAGGUCUAGGCUAGCCGGGCGACGGUUGUAUAUCCGGAUUCAGCGUGGUAUGGGGGUGAUGACCUGGUAAAUCCGGUUGCAUACUAACCCUGUUGCUGGAAAUGACGGAUGCACUACGGUGCAGAAGGAAUUUGAUGCCCUGCUACCAGAAAAUCCUCUAAGCUUCCAGGUAACAUUAAAUCGUACCCCAAACCGACACCGGGGUCAGGUAGAGAAUACCAAGGCGCUUGAUAAACUCGGGUGAAGAACUAGGCAAAAUGGUGCCGUAAACUUUCGGGAUAAUGCACGCUGGCAUGAAGGUGAUCCCUUUGCUGAAGAGCUGAAGCCAGUCGAAGAUACCAUCUGGCAGCACACUGUUUAAUACAAACACAGCACUGAUGCAAAACACGAAAGUGGAACGUAUAUCGGUUUGACGCCAUGCCCGUUGCUGGAAGGUUAAUUGAUGGGGUCAGCCGCAAGGCGAAGCUCUUGAUCGAAAUGCCCCAUAAACGGCGUCCGCGUAACUCUAACGGUCCUAAGCUAGCGAACUUCCUUGUCGGGUAAGUUCCGACCUGCACGACAGCUAAUGAUGUCCAUCUGUCUCCACCCGAACUCAGUGAAAUUGAACUCUGCUGAGUAAGAUGCAGUGUACCCGCGGCAAGACGGAAAGACCCCGUGAACCAUUACAUAUAGCUUGACACUGAACAUUGAGCCUUUGAAGUGUAGGAUAGGUGGGCGGCUUUGAAGCGGACGCCCAGUCUGCGUGAGCCAUCCUUGAAAUACCACCCUUGUAAAUGUUUGAUGUUUCUAACUUCGGCCCCAUAAUCAGGGGUGAGGACAGUGUCUGGUGGGUAGUUUUGACUGGGGCGGUCCUCCUCCCCGAAAGAGUAACGGAGAGCACGAAGGUUAGCUAAUCACGUCGGACAUCGUGAGGUUAAGUGCAAAGCAAGCUAGCUUUACUGCGAUAGUUGACCGGCUCGCAGGUACGAAAGUAGGUUCUAGUGAUCCGGUGGUUCUGAAUGAAGGGCCAUCGCUGGAUCAACGGAUACAAGAACUCCGGUGAUAACAGUCUGAUAACCGCCCAAAGUUCUAUCGACGGCGGUGAAUUGCACCUCGAUGUCGGCAACAACACAUCCAGGUGCUAAUUAGGUCCCAAGUUAUGGCUGUUCGCCAUUUAAAGUGGUACGCUGAGCUGGGUUUAGAACGUCGGGCCAUUCGGUCCCCUAUCAGCCGUGGGCGUUGGAAGAUUGAGAGGGGUUGCUCCUAGUACGAGAGGACCGGAGUGAACGCACCACUGGUGUUCGGGUUGUCAUGCCAAUGGCAUUGCCCGGUAGCUAAGUGCGGAAAAGAUAAGCGCUGAAAGCAUCUAAGCGCGAAACUUGCCUCAAGAUGAGUCUUCCCUGGGCCUUCAAGGCCCCUGAAGGAACGUUUAAGACUAAGACGUUGAUAGGCUGGGUGUGUAAGUGCAGCGAUGCAUUGAGCUAACCAGUACUAAUGAUCCGUGAGGCUUAACCUU
RNAcentral lists this ribosomal RNA (2950 nucleotides) under Serratia sp. CMO1. RNAcentral's name for it is "23S ribosomal RNA". It matches the Rfam family "Bacterial large subunit ribosomal RNA". The record is from RNAcentral. Lineage: Bacteria; Pseudomonadati; Pseudomonadota; Gammaproteobacteria; Enterobacterales; Yersiniaceae.